CAACCUGCCGCUUACUCGGGGAUAGCCUUUCGAAAGAAAGAUUAAUACCCGAUGGUAUAAAGAGUUCGCAAGUUCUCUUUAUUAAAGAAUUUCGGUAAGCGAUGGGGAUGCGUUCCAUUAGAUUGUUGGCGGGGUAACGGCCCACCAAGUCUACGAUGGAUAGGGGUUCUGAGAGGAAGGUCCCCCACAUUGGAACUGAGACACGGUCCAAACUCCUACGGGAGGCAGCAGUGAGGAAUAUUGGUCAAUAGACGAGAGUCUGAACCAGCCAAGUAGCGUGAAGGAUGACUGCCCUAUGGGUUGUAAACUUCUUUUAUAAGGGAAUAAAGUGAGGGACGUGUCCCUUUUCGUAUGUACCUUAUGAAUAAGGAUCGGCUAACUCCGUGCCAGCAGCCGCGGUAAUACGGAGGAUCCGAGCGUUAUCCGGAUUUAUUGGGUUUAAAGGGAGCGUAGGUUGACAUAUAAGUCAGCUGUGAAAGUUUACGGCUCAACCGUGAAAUUGCAGUUGAUACUGUAUGUCUUGAGUGUACAAGAGGUGGGCGGAAUUCGUGGUGUAGCGGUGAAAUGCUUAGAUAUCACGAAGAACUCCGAUUG
Molecule: ribosomal RNA, 594 nt
Filed under: uncultured Bacteroidota bacterium
Lineage: Bacteria; Pseudomonadati; Bacteroidota
Description: bacterial SSU rRNA
Rfam family: Bacterial small subunit ribosomal RNA
Source: RNAcentral